RNAcentral lists this ribosomal RNA (321 nucleotides) under Nuttallia tchangsii. Its description in RNAcentral is "Sanguinolaria tchangsii partial 16S ribosomal RNA". It matches the Rfam family "Archaeal large subunit ribosomal RNA", at positions 2028 to 2590 of the family's 2987-position model. The record is from RNAcentral. Lineage: Eukaryota; Metazoa; Mollusca; Bivalvia; Cardiida; Psammobiidae.
CUAAGGUAGCGUAAUAGAUCGUCCUUUAAUUGGGGAAAGGUAUGAAUGGUUGGAUGAUGGAAAGACUUUAUUAGAGGUAUGUUUUGAAAUUUACUUCUAGGUGCAAAGGCUUAGAUAUUAAUACUAGACGAGAAGACCCUGUUGAGCUUGGUAAUUGCCUCUAUUAUGUAGAGGUAAUAUGUUUUCUCGGGGCCGAGUGGAAGGGAUUUGAUUUCUUCCUAAUUUAAUCAUUGAUCCAGCAUGGCUGAUAGGAGGAAGAUAGUUACCACAGGGAUAACAGCGCAAUCUCUCUGGCGAGGCCAUAUUUGAGGAGGGGGUUGC